UAGAGUUUGAUCCUGGCUCAGAACGAACGCUGGCGGCGUGCUUAACACAUGCAAGUCGAACGAGAAAUUUCUUCUUCGGAAGAGAGAGUAAAGUGGCGCACGGGUGAGUAACGCGUAGAUAAUCUACCUCCAGGUUGGGGAUAACACUGCGAAAGCGGUGCUAAUACCGGAUAAGCUCCGGGGGAUGCGAAUUUCCCGGAGGAAAGGUGGCCUCUGAUACAAGCAAUCGCCUGGGGAGGAGUCUGCGUAUCAUUAGCUAGUAGGUGGGGUAAGAGCCUACCUAGGCCACGAUGAUUAGCGGGUCUGAGAGGAUGAUCCGCCACACUGGAACUGACACACGGACCAGACUCCUACGGGAGGCAGCAGUGAGGAAUUUUGCGCAAUGGGGGAAACCCUGACGCAGCGACGCCGCGUGAGUGAAGAAGGCCUUCGGGUUGUAAAGCUCUGUCAGAUGGGAAUAAGUUCAUUCGUGUUAAUAGCACGGGUGUUUGAGGGUACCAUCAAAGGAAGCACCGGCUAACUCCGUGCCAGCAGCCGCGGUAAUACGGAGGGUGCAAGCGUUGUUCGGAAUCACUGGGCGUAAAGGGCACGCAGGCGGCCAAUCAAGUCAGGUGUGAAAUUCCAGGGCUCAACCCUGGACGUGCAUCUGAAACUGGUUGGCUUGAGUAUGGGAGAGGAAAGUGGAAUUCCCGGUGUAGAGGUGAAAUUCGUAGAUAUCGGGAGGAAUACCUGAGGCGAAGGCGACUUUCUGGACCAAUACUGACGCUGAGGUGCGAAAGCGUGGGUAGCGAACAGGAUUAGAUACCCUGGUAGUCCACAGCUGUAAACGAUGUGCACUAGAUGUUGGAGGAGUUGACCCCUUCAGUGUCGAAGCUAACGCGAUAAGUGCACCGCCUGGGGAGUACGGCCGCAAGGUAAAAACUCAAAGGAAUUGACGGGGGCCCGCACAAGCGGUGGAGUAUGUGGUU
This 968-nucleotide ribosomal RNA is filed under the name uncultured bacterium. RNAcentral's name for it is "bacterial SSU rRNA". It matches the Rfam family "Bacterial small subunit ribosomal RNA", at positions 1 to 946 of the family's 1533-position model. The record is from RNAcentral.